This is a long non-coding RNA of Callithrix jacchus (white-tufted-ear marmoset), 239 nucleotides long. RefSeq lists it as uncharacterized. NCBI's taxonomy places the organism in Eukaryota, Metazoa, Chordata, Mammalia, Primates, Cebidae. The record is from RefSeq and is a predicted model, not a curated record.
AGCUAGUGCAGCAUAGGACACGGUACCUGGAAUUCCUGCCCUUUCCUUCCUUAUUUCCUGUGCUGAGGCCUGGACUUCUGUGGACCCCAGAGGAUUUGCUGAUGUUUACAAACAUACAGUUUCAGGUGAGAACCUUUUCUUCCUGGGCGCCUCCUCUGCCUCUGCUGCCGUCCCCGCUGGAGACACAGAAAUGCUUGCCUUGGAGUAACCAAUUCUGUCCUGUCUCCUUGAAUUUGUUC